UACGUAGGGUGCAAGCGUUAAUCGGAAUUACUGGGCGUAAAGCGUGCGCAGGCGGUUCUAUAAGACAGAUGUGAAAUCCCCGGGCUCAACCUGGGAACUGCAUUUGUGACUGUAGAGCUGGAGUACGGUAGAGGGGGAUGGAAUUCCGCGUGUAGCAGUGAAAUGCGUAGAUAUCUGGAAGAACACCAAAGGCGAAGGCAGUGUCCUGGGUGGUCGCUGACGCUGAGAGGCGAAAGCCAGGGGAGCGAACGGG
Molecule: ribosomal RNA, 253 nt
Filed under: uncultured bacterium
Lineage: Bacteria
Description: partial 16S ribosomal RNA
Rfam family: Bacterial small subunit ribosomal RNA
Source: RNAcentral